Molecule: ribosomal RNA, 459 nt
Filed under: uncultured bacterium
Lineage: Bacteria
Description: partial 16S ribosomal RNA
Rfam family: Bacterial small subunit ribosomal RNA
Source: RNAcentral
CCUACGGGAGGCAGCAGUGAGGAAUAUUGGUCAAUGGCCGCAAGCCUGAACCAGCCAAGUAGCGUGAAGGACGAAUGUGCCAAGCAUUGUAAACUUCUUUUAUCAAGGAAUAAAGUCAGGCUCGUGAGCCUUAUUGAAGGUACUUUAUGAAAAAGCAUCGGCUAACUCCGUGCCAGCAGCCGCGGUAAUACGGAGGAUGCGAGCGUUAUCCGGAUUUAUUGGGUUUAAAGGGUGCGUAGGGGGGCUGUUAAGUCAGCGGUAAAAGUCCGGGGCUCAACCCCGACGAGCCGUUGAAACUGGCUGUCUUGAGAUGUCUAGAGGUAUGCGGAAUUCGCAGUGUAGCGGUGAAAUGCUUAGAUAUUGCGCAGAACUCCGAUUGCGAAGGCAGCAUACCGGCGGCGAUCUGACGCUGAGGCACGAAAGCGUGGGUAUCGAACAGGAUUAGAUACCCCUGUAGUC